This is a long non-coding RNA of Camelus dromedarius (Arabian camel), 321 nucleotides long. RefSeq lists it as uncharacterized. NCBI's taxonomy places the organism in Eukaryota, Metazoa, Chordata, Mammalia, Artiodactyla, Camelidae. The record is from RefSeq and is a predicted model, not a curated record. The transcript is spliced from 3 exons.
AGGUUUUCCCUCAGAUGUGUGGUGAGCUGGCUGACCACUCAGCUUCAGAAUGGAUUAAUGCUGACAUCAAAAGCAGUCAGCAGGAUAUCUGAAAAACCCACCUGAGGUCACCUGGAGCCUACUAUGGACCAGCUCUCAGUACCAAGCACAGACUCUGAGCACCACCACCCCAGCUUCACCACAUUCUUCUGGUGCCUUGUGUUUUUCAGGUUGCAGAGCAGUGAUAACUGGCAGUGUCUUUUGGGUGUGAGGUACCUGGAGUUCAGAGACCCUCCAACCCCUGACAAUGACAGCAGAUGAGUUGGUUUCUUUGUGAAUGGC